This 312-nucleotide long non-coding RNA is filed under the name Chinchilla lanigera (long-tailed chinchilla). Its description in RNAcentral is "lncRNA (ENSCLAG00000023256.1)". Lineage: Eukaryota; Metazoa; Chordata; Mammalia; Rodentia; Chinchillidae. The record is from RNAcentral.
AUUGGGCAUCUAUCAAAUAUAUUUGAAUGAAUACAUCAAUGGGACAGAAGACUGAAACAUGGAGAAGCAGUAUCUCAUGGGAAGUAAGGGUAGAAAUUCUCUAAGUACAACACAUCUGCGGAGAGACAUACCAUCUCUGACUAAAUCUCCAGUAUUGAAGAAGUGGAUGUUCCAAGCUGCAUACGACUUCCUAAGUGCUUAGAAAACAAAUGCAGCGCCUUGAACAGGAUUAGAUGCAUUGUCUUUGCAAAUAUCCUAAAUUUGGGCACUGGUUCUGACACUUGCAGGUAUGUGUCCUUGGGCAAGGCAUUU